AAGAAUUAGAGGUGGUAAUGAUGUGAACAGGAUUGGUAAUAUGUGAACUCUCGUUUGAAAAUCAGAGAGCGCGCUCAUUUUUAGCAUAAAUGAAAGUUCUCUUCCCUCUGUUUUAUUCCCAGCAUUCAGAAUCCAGACACAAGCUCUCCACGGGGAAGUACAUGCACUGUGCUUACUUUAAGGGGAGAGAGUGUCCAUCAUCUCACACCCAGGAGAUCUACGGUAACCACCAUGUCCGCGACUUAGUUGUUGGAAGAGUCACCUCUGUAGUCCUCCAAGGCAGCAUGGUGCCUGAGAGCUCCGCAGGACACCUGUGACCUAGACUGGGUGGUCCUUGCCCCUCUCCAGUCUUCGGCGGGAAACACUUUAUAAGCAGAUUACUUCUCCGCCCUGCUGCCCGGAGCCAGAUCUCUUGCCAUGCCAAAUUGUUGGAAUGGUUCAGUGACAAGUGUGUUAUUAAGAAGAAAUUUAUGACGCCUUAUUCAGAGUGAGUCACCGAAUCCCUGUGGUGAGAGGCGUGGGGAAGGGGCCCUCCGCUGAGACAAGCUAACUUGGGGACCUGGGCCCCAGCAGCCCU
This 577-nucleotide long non-coding RNA is filed under the name Mustela putorius furo (domestic ferret). RNAcentral describes it as "lncRNA (ENSMPUG00000031727.1)". Lineage: Eukaryota; Metazoa; Chordata; Mammalia; Carnivora; Mustelidae. The record is from RNAcentral.